UUUCCGUAGGUGAACCUGCGGAAGGAUCAUUACCGAGUAACUGGGUCGGCGUAUGCCUCCCGUUCUCCCACCCUAUGUUUACUUACUCCUGUUGCCUCGGCGGGCCUGCGGGCCCCACCCGCUGCUGGCCUCGGCUAGUUAGCGCCCGCCAGAGGGACCCAUUAAACUCUAUUUUAACGUGUCGUCUGAGUAAAACUUUAAUAAGUUAAAACUUUCAACAACGGAUCUCUUGGUUCUG
Molecule: unclassified non-coding RNA, 238 nt
Filed under: soil metagenome
Description: partial contains small subunit ribosomal RNA, internal transcribed spacer 1, and 5.8S ribosomal RNA
Source: RNAcentral